CAAUGAACUUCAGGUGUUUAGCCAUGACUUUACUUUCAAAUCUUCAUUCUCCAGGACCUACAGACUGGACAAGAGGCAUGGAAACCGGAAAAUCAGUAAGAAACCGAAGCCAGAGUCACAUUUUACCACAGGGACCUGGAGGCCACGCGAAAUACUGUCCUCCCUCCACACGCGCUUGGCCAAUCCCCCCCGAAAUUUCCUUACCUACGGCCUCAGCACUCAGGACUCCAGGACGCUCCGGACCGGAAGCGGAAGCUACGGAAUCCCCGAGGCAGGAGGAAGCGCGCUGAAGGGCGCAGACUGCUGCGGAAGCCGUGGCUGCGGUCUGUCCUUGUGAAGGUUCGCUUCUGAGCGCAGGCGUUGAACUCUACGCCUGACAAAGUCAAGGAACCUGCGUCCUCGCCAGUUUAGGUAUGGAGUCGCGGUCCUUGGGUCUGCGAGAAGGUCAGAAGAUCCGUAGCUCUAAUCCCGCUAAAGCCUUACUAGAUCUGAGCGAUUUCGUUUUCUGGGUGGGAAAUGGGAAGCGUCUUGAGAAUGUUCUGUAUUUUAAAAGGACAGAUCCGCGCAGCACUCGAGAAGCAGAGGCAGGCGGAUUUCUGUGAGUUCGAGGCCAGCCUGGUCGACAAAGCUACAGGAGAAACCCUGUUUCUCUCAAAGUUAAGAAACAGAAAUUACAUACUGUGAGUUUCCCAUUUCAUCAUCCACUAAAUUUCAUAAAUAAAAUGGAAUCACUAAA
Molecule: long non-coding RNA, 736 nt
Organism: Mesocricetus auratus (golden hamster)
Lineage: Eukaryota; Metazoa; Chordata; Mammalia; Rodentia; Cricetidae
Exons: 2
Source: RefSeq, a predicted model, not a curated record